This 406-nucleotide ribosomal RNA is filed under the name uncultured bacterium. RNAcentral's name for it is "partial 16S ribosomal RNA". It matches the Rfam family "Bacterial small subunit ribosomal RNA", at positions 30 to 526 of the family's 1533-position model. The record is from RNAcentral.
AUUGAACGCUGGCGGCAUGCCUAACACAUGCAAGUCGAGCGAGCGGCGGACGGGUGAGUAAUGUCUGGGAAACUGCCUGAUGGAGGGGGAUAACUACUGGAAACGGUUGCUAAUACCGCAUACCAUCAGAUGUUCCCAGAUGGGAUUAGCUAGUAGGUGGGGUAACGGCUCACCUAGGCGACGAUCCCUAGCUGGUCUGCGAGGAUGACCAGCAACACUGGAACUGAGACACGGUCGAGACUCAUACGGAAGGCAGCAGUGGGGAAUAUUGCACAAUGGGCGAAAGCCGGAUGCAGCCAUGCCGCGGGUGUGAAGAAGGCCUUCGGGUAGAAAAGCACUUUCAGCGGGGAGGCGUUACCUACAGAAGAAGAACCGGCUAACUACGUGCAAGCAGCCGCGGUAAUUC